RNAcentral lists this ribosomal RNA (468 nucleotides) under uncultured bacterium. RNAcentral describes it as "partial 16S ribosomal RNA". It matches the Rfam family "Bacterial small subunit ribosomal RNA", at positions 28 to 507 of the family's 1533-position model. The record is from RNAcentral.
GACGAACGCUGGCGGCGUGCUUAACACAUGCAAGUCGAACGGAAAGGCCCUGCUUUUGUGGGGUGCUCGAGUGGCGAACGGGUGAGUAACACGUGAGUAACCUGCCCUUGACUUUGGGAUAACUUCAGGGAACUGGGGCUAAUACCGGAUAGGAGCUCCUGCUGCAUGGUGGGGGUUGGAAAGUUUCGGCGGUUGGGGAUGGACUCGCGGCUUAUCAGCUUGUUGGUGGGGUAGUGGCUUACCAAGGCUUUGACGGGUAGCCGGCCUGAGAGGGUGACCGGCCACAUUGGGACUGAGAUACGGCCCAGACUCCUACGGGAGGCAGCAGUGGGGAAUAUUGCACAAUGGGCGGAAGCCUGAUGCGGCAACGCCGCGUGCGGGAUGACGGCCUUCGGGUUGUAAACCGCUUUCGCCUGUGACGAAGCGUGAGUGACGGUAAUGGGUAAAGAAGCACCGGCUAACUACGUG